AUGGCAGGAUGAAGAAAGAUGGCCUCUACAAGUAAGCUAUCGCUAAAGGAUGGGCCUGCGUCUGAUUAGCUAGUUGGUAGUGUAACGGACUACCAAGGCGAUGAUCAGUAGCCGGUCUGAGAGGAUGAACGGCCACAUUGGGACUGAGACACGGCCCAAACUCCUACGGGAGGCAGCAGUGGGGAAUCUUCCGCAAUGGACGAAAGUCUGACGGAGCAACGCCGCGUGAGUGAUGAAGGAUUUCGGUCUGUAAAGCUCUGUUGUUUAUGACGAACGUGCAGUGUGUGAACAAUGCAUUGCAAUGACGGUAGUAAACGAGGAAGCCACGGCUAACUACGUGCCAGCAGCCGCGGUAAUACGUAGGUGGCGAGCGUUGUCCGGAAUUAUUGGGCGUAAAGAGCAUGUAGGCGGCUUAAUAAGUCGAGCGUGAAAAUGCGG
This 438-nucleotide ribosomal RNA is filed under the name uncultured Bacillota bacterium. Its description in RNAcentral is "bacterial SSU rRNA". It matches the Rfam family "Bacterial small subunit ribosomal RNA", at positions 189 to 605 of the family's 1533-position model. Lineage: Bacteria; Bacillati; Bacillota. The record is from RNAcentral.